This 407-nucleotide ribosomal RNA is filed under the name uncultured beta proteobacterium. Its description in RNAcentral is "bacterial SSU rRNA". It matches the Rfam family "Bacterial small subunit ribosomal RNA", at positions 9 to 419 of the family's 1533-position model. Lineage: Bacteria; Pseudomonadati; Pseudomonadota; Betaproteobacteria. The record is from RNAcentral.
GAGUUUGAUCGUGGCUCAGAUUGAACGCUGGCGGCAUGCUUUACACAUGCAAGUCGAACGGUAACGCGGGGGCAACCCUGGCGACGAGUGGCGAACGGGUGAGUAAUACAUCGGAACGUGUCCUGGAGUGGGGGAUAGCUCGGCGAAAGCCGGAUUAAUACCGCAUACGCUCUGAGGAGGAAAGCGGGGGACCUUCGGGCCUCGCGCUGCGGGAGCGGCCGAUGUCGGAUUAGCUAGUUGGUGGGUAAAGGCCUACCAAGGCGACGAUCCGUAGCUGGUCUGAGAGGAUGAUCAGCCACACUGGGACUGAGACACGGCCCAGACUCCUACGGGAGGCAGCAGUGGGGAAUUUUGGACAAUGGGGGCAACCCUGAUCCAGCCAUGCCGCGUGAGUGAAGAAGGCCUUC